AGGUGGUUAGUCCAAAAUAAGACCUUUGAUUUCGGCUUAAAAAACCGCGGUUUAAGUCCGCGACUACCUU
Molecule: transfer RNA, 70 nt
Filed under: Retropinna retropinna (cucumberfish)
Lineage: Eukaryota; Metazoa; Chordata; Actinopteri; Osmeriformes; Retropinnidae
Description: tRNA-Arg
Rfam family: tRNA
About the family: Transfer RNA (tRNA) molecules are approximately 80 nucleotides in length.
Source: RNAcentral